This 497-nucleotide ribosomal RNA is filed under the name uncultured bacterium. RNAcentral's name for it is "partial 16S ribosomal RNA". It matches the Rfam family "Bacterial small subunit ribosomal RNA", at positions 28 to 507 of the family's 1533-position model. The record is from RNAcentral.
GAUGAACGCUGGCGGCGUGCCUAAUACAUGCAAGUCGAGCGAACGGACGAGAAGCUUGCUUCUCUGAUGUUAGCGGCGGACGGGUGAGUAACACGUGGAUAACCUACCUAUAAGACUGGGAUAACUUCGGGAAACCGUAGCUAAUACCGGAUAAUAUUUUGAACCGCAUGGUUCAAAAGUGAAAGACGGUCUUUCUGUCACUUAUAGAUGGAUCCGCGCUGCAUUAGCUAGUUGGUAAGGUAACGGCUUACCAAGGCAACGAUGCAUAGCCGACCUGAGAGGGUGAUCGGCCACACUGGAACUGAGACACGGUCCAGACUCCUACGGGAGGCAGCAGUAGGGAAUCUUCCGCAAUGGGCAAAAGCCUGACGGAGCAACGCCGCGUGAGUGAUGAAGGUCUUCGGAUCGUAAAACUCUGUUAUUAGGGAAGAACAUAUGUGUAAGUAACUGUGCACAUCUUGACGGUACCUAAUCAGAAAGCCACGGCUAACUACGUG